Molecule: non-coding RNA, 230 nt
Organism: Pelobates cultripes (western spadefoot toad)
Lineage: Eukaryota; Metazoa; Chordata; Amphibia; Anura; Pelobatidae
Source: the annotation of a GenBank genome assembly
CUGACACUUUAGGAUUCUUCUUCACCUCAUUGAGCAGUCUGCGCUGUGCUCUUGCAGUCAUCUUUACAGGACGGCCACUCCUAGGGAGAGUAGCAGCAGUGCUGAACUUUCUCCAUUUAUAGACAAUUUGUCUUACCGUGGACUGAUGAACAGCAAGGCUUUUGGAGAUACUUUUAUAACCCUUUCCAGCUUUAUGCAAGUCAACAAUUCUUAAUCGUAGGUCUUCUGAG